UAUUCUUAUGUUAAAACAAUCAUUGGUUAAUCUCACUUAACUCUACUGAUUAGAAUCCUCGAUAAUUAGAUCGAGGUGGGAAGGGUAAGGUGUUUCCAAGCAGCAAACUGGUGUCCUUAGGGUUUCCUUAGUUUCCUAAAACAAA
Aquila chrysaetos chrysaetos is the source of this 145-nucleotide long non-coding RNA. RefSeq lists it as uncharacterized. Lineage: Eukaryota; Metazoa; Chordata; Aves; Accipitriformes; Accipitridae. The transcript is spliced from 3 exons. The record is from RefSeq and is a predicted model, not a curated record.